GACUUCGGGUGGCAGAGGACGCCGCGGUUGUUGGCGACGGCCGCCGUCCCGACGGUCCGAACGUCGGCGAGGUCGCC
This 77-nucleotide transfer RNA is filed under the name Haloferax massiliensis. RNAcentral describes it as "tRNA-Ala". The record is from RNAcentral. Lineage: Archaea; Methanobacteriati; Methanobacteriota; Halobacteria; Halobacteriales; Haloferacaceae.